CUAAAAAUCUAGCCUCACACCUAUAAUUUUUUCCCCUCCCCUCCUACCCACACAAACCAAAAUAUUUUCGAAAAUUUAGUAAAGAAGAUUGAAAAAUUUCACAGAGCAACAACCAUGUACCGCAAGGGAAAGAUGAAAUACUAAUGAAACAAAGUUAAGCACAAAAUAGUAGAGCCUAACUCUCGUACCUUUUGCAUCAUGGUUUAACUAGUCUACCCAAGCAAAAAGAAUUUAAGUUUGCCCCCCCGAAACUAAGUGAGCUACUUUGAGACAGCUUCAGAGCCAACCCGUCCCUGUUACAAAAGGGUGGGAAGAUCUCAAAGUAGCGGUGACAUGCCUAACGAACUUAGUGAUAGCUGGUUGCUCACGAAAAGAAUAUCAGUUCUACCUAAAGCAUAAACUGCUAACCAAAAAUAACACUUUACUUUAGAGCAACUCAAACAGGGUACAGCCUGUUUGACCCAGGAUACAACCUCCGCUGACGGGUAACUAAUUGUCCCCUAGCCAAGUGGGCCUAAGAGCAGCCACCUUCAAAAAUGCGUCAAAGCUUAACUAACUCAACAAGCAAUCCCAAAAAUCCCACCAAACCCUCUACCAGUACUGAGCACUUCUAUAACCUAUAGAAGAUCUUAUGUUAAAACUAGUAACAAGGAGACACAACUCUCCUCUUUUAUACAAACAUAAAUCAGCUUGGAUAACCCACUGAAAAUUAACAUUUCACUAAUGGUAACCCCACGAGAAAACCCCAUUAAUUACAAUGUUAACCUGACACUAGAGUAUAACAAGAAAGAUUAAAAGAAAGGGAAGGAAUUCGGCAAAUAACUAUCCCGCCUGUUUACCAAAAACAUCGCCUCUUGCCCAACUAUAAGAGGUCCAGCCUGCCCAGUGACCCACGUUCAACGGCCGCGGUAUCCUAACCACGCGAAGGUAGCGUAAUCAAUUGUCUCUUAAAUGGAGACUUGUAUGAAUGGCAUCACGAGGAUUUAACUGUCUCCCCUCUCUAAUCUGUGAAACUAAUCCCCCUGUGAAAAAGCAGGGAUAUCCUCAUAAGACGAGAAGACCCUGUGGAACUUUAAACAAGUAACAAUUGCUUCCCCUAACCCCACCCCCGGAACCCCCGCCCCCAAGCAUUCUAACUACAAGUUUUCAGUUGGGGUGACUAUGGAGAAAAACCCACCCUCCAUGAUGCAGACCUUAAAUUCAAAACCACAAGCCACAGCUUUACGUAUCAGAAAACUGACAUUCAUUGACCCAUACACAUGAUCAACGAACCAAGCUACCCCAGGGAUAACAGCGCAAUCCACUUUAAGAGCACAUAUCGACAAGUGGGCUUACGACCUCGAUGUUGGAUCAGGGUACCCCAGUGGUGCAGCCGCUACUAAAGGUUCGUUUGUUCAACGAUUAAAACCCUACGUGAUCUGAGUUCAGACCGGAGUAAUCCAGGUCGGUUUCUAUCUAUAAAGGGCUCCCUCCAGUACGAAAGGACCGAAAGAGCAAGGCCAAUGAAAAAUUCAAGCCUCACAGAUAAUUUAUGACUCACACUCAACAAAUCCCAAACCUACUCCCGCCGCCCC
RNAcentral lists this ribosomal RNA (1574 nucleotides) under Craugastor angelicus. RNAcentral describes it as "partial 16S ribosomal RNA". It matches the Rfam family "Bacterial large subunit ribosomal RNA", at positions 438 to 2925 of the family's 2925-position model. Lineage: Eukaryota; Metazoa; Chordata; Amphibia; Anura; Craugastoridae. The record is from RNAcentral.